AUGAUCCAGAGUACCACGGGACACGUGAAACCCUGUGGGAAGCAGGAGGGACCACCCUCCAAGGCUAAAUACUACCUAGUGACCGAUAGCGUAUAGUACCGUGAGGGAAAGGUGAAAAGAACCCCGGGAGGGGAGUGAAAUAGAACCUGAAACCCUGCACUUACAAGCUGUGGAAGCACAUUUCUUGUGUGACCGCGUACUUUUUGUAGAACGGGCCAACGAGUUACGUUAAGUAGCAAGGUUAAGCACUUAAGGUGCGGAGCCGUAGCGAAAGCGAGUUUUAACUGAGCGUUCAGUUACUUGACGUAGACCCGAAACCGGGCGACCUACCCAUGAGCAGGAUGAAGCGAAAGUAAAAUUUCGUGGAGGUCCGAACCCACGAGCGUUGAAAAGCUCGGGGAUGACUUGUGGGUAGCGGUGAAAUUCCAAUCGAGCCCGGAGAUAGCUGGUUCUCCCCGAAAUAGCUUUAGGGCUAGCCUCAAGGUGAGAGAUACGGAGGUAGAGCACUGAAUGUCCUAGGGGGUAUUGCACCUACCGAAGACUAUCAAACUCCGAAUGCCGUCAUCUUAUACUUGGGAGUCAGACUGUGGGUGAUAAGAUUCAUAGUCGAAAGGGCAACAGCCCAGAUCGUCAGCUAAGGUCCCUAAAUGUAAGUUAAGUGGUAAAGGAUGUGGGAUUGCACAGACAACCAGGAUGUUGGCUUAGAAGCAGCCACUCAUUCAAAGAGUGCGUAAUAGCUCACUGGUCGAGUGAUCCUGCGCCGAAGAUUUCCGGGGCUAAAACUUACUACCGAAGCUACGGCAUCAGUAAUGAUGGGUAGGGGAGCUUCCCAUACGGGUUGAAGCAUGACCGUAAGGACAUGUGGACAGUAUGGGAGUGAGAAUGUUGGCAUGAGUAGCGAGAUGUGGGUGAGAAUCCCACAGGCCGUAAACCCAAGGUUUCCAGGGGAAGGUUCGUCCGCCCUGGGUUAGUCGGGACCUAAGCUGAGGCCGAAAGGCGUAGGUGAUGGACAACAGGUUGAUAUUCCUGUACUACCGAUAACCGUUUGAGAGAAGGGAUGACACAGUAGGAUAAGCUAAGCACACUGUUGGUUAUGUGUGCCCAAGCAUUGAGGCAGUCAAAGUAGGCAAAUCCGCUUUGAUAAUGCUGGGAUGUGAUGGGGAGCGAAAUUUAGUAGCGAAGUAGCUGAUUUCACACUGUCAAGAAAAGUCUCUAUCGAGGUUAAAGGUACCCGUACCGCAAACCGACACAGGUGGGUGAGGAGAGUAUCCUAAGGCCAGCGAGAGAACUGUUGUUAAGGAACUCGGCAAAAUGACCCCGUAACUUAGGGAUAAGGGGUGCCACCAUCAGGUGGCCGCAGAGAAUAGGCCCAAGCGACUGUUUACCAAAAACAUAGGUUUCUGCUAAGUCGCAAGACGAUGUAUAGGAGCUGACGCCUGCCCGGUGCUGGAAGGUUAAGGGGAUCUGUUAGAGCAAUCGAAGCAGUGAACUUAAGCCCCAGUAAACGGCGGCCGUAACUAUAACGGUCCUAAGGUAGCGAAAUUCCUUGUCGGGUAAGUUCCGACCCGCACGAAAGGCGUAACGAUUUGGGCACUGUCUCAACAACAGACUCGGUGAAAUUGUAAUUCCGGUGAAGAUGCCGGAUACCUGCGACAGGACGGAAAGACCCCAUGGAGCUUUACUGUAGCUUGACAUUGGGUCUUGGUACUACAUGUACAGGAUAGGUGGGAGGCUUUGAAACCAGGACGCCAGUUUUGGCGGAGCCAUCCUUGGGAUACCACCCUUGUAGUACUGGGACUCUA
RNAcentral lists this ribosomal RNA (1802 nucleotides) under Clostridioides difficile. RNAcentral describes it as "partial 23S ribosomal RNA". It matches the Rfam family "Bacterial large subunit ribosomal RNA", at positions 402 to 2224 of the family's 2925-position model. Lineage: Bacteria; Bacillati; Bacillota; Clostridia; Peptostreptococcales; Peptostreptococcaceae. The record is from RNAcentral.